Molecule: non-coding RNA, 114 nt
Organism: Acanthosepion pharaonis
Lineage: Eukaryota; Metazoa; Mollusca; Cephalopoda; Sepiida; Sepiidae
Source: the annotation of a GenBank genome assembly
UUGUGGCCAUAUCAGGUUGAAACCGGGUUUCUCACCUGAUCAUUGAAGUUAAGCAACGUUGAACCUGGACAGUACCUAGAUGAGUGACCACUCGGGAAUACAAAGUGAUGUAAG